GGAAUAUUGGACAAUGGGCGAAAGCCUGAUCCAGCCAUGCCGCGUGUGUGAAGAAGGUCUUCGGAUUGUAAAGCACUUUAAGCUGGGAGGAAGGGUAGUAACUUAAUACGUUGCUUUUUUGAGGUUACCGACAGAAUAAGCACCGGCUAACUUCGUGCACGCAGCCGCGGUCAUACGAAGGGUGCAAGCGUUAACCGGAAUUACUGGGCGUAAAGCGCGCGUAGGUGGUUCAGUAAGUUGGAUGUGAAAUCCCCGGGCUCAACCUGGGAACUGCAUCCAAAACUGCUGAACUAGAGUACGGUAGAGGGUGGUGGAAUUUCCUGUGUAGCGGUGAAAUGCGUAGAUAUAGGAAGGAACACCAGUGGCGAAGGCGACCACCUGGACUGAUACUGACACUGAGGUGCGAAAGCGUGGGGAGCAAAC
This 423-nucleotide ribosomal RNA is filed under the name uncultured bacterium. RNAcentral's name for it is "bacterial SSU rRNA". It matches the Rfam family "Bacterial small subunit ribosomal RNA", at positions 358 to 773 of the family's 1533-position model. The record is from RNAcentral.